Molecule: ribosomal RNA, 403 nt
Filed under: Fusobacteriota bacterium
Lineage: Bacteria; Fusobacteriati; Fusobacteriota
Description: Fusobacteria bacterium partial 16S ribosomal RNA
Rfam family: Bacterial small subunit ribosomal RNA
Source: RNAcentral
UGGGGAAUCUUGCACAAUGGGGGAAACCCUGAUGCAGCGACGCCGCGUGAGCGAUGGAGGUUUUCGAAUCGUAAAGCUCUGUCCUAUGGGAAGAUAAUGACGGUACCAUGGGAGGAAGCCCCGGCUAACUACGUGCCAGCAGCCGCGGUAAUACGUAGGGGGCGAGCGUUGUCCGGAAUUACUGGGCGUAAAGGGUUCGCAGGCGGCAUGGCAAGUCCGAUGUAAAAGGCGAAGGCUCAACCUUCGUAAGCAUCGGAAACUGUCAAGCUUGAGUGAAGGAGAGGCGAGUGGAAUUCCUAGUGUAGCGGUGGAAUGCGUAGAUAUUAGGAGGAAUACCGGUGGCGAAGGCGACUUGCUGGACUUCAACUGACGCUGAGGAACGAAAGCGUGGGUAGCAAACAGG